AACGAACGCUGGCGGCAGGCCUAACACAUGCAAGUCGAGCGCGCCUUCGGGUGAGCGGCGGACGGGUGAGUAACGCGUGGGAAUAUGCCCUUCUCUACGGAAUAGUCCUGGGAAACUGGGGGUAAUACCGUAUACGCCCUUUGGGGGAAAGAUUUAUCGGGGAAGGAUUAGCCCGCGUUGGAUUAGGUAGUUGGUGGGGUAAUGGCCUACCAAGCCGACGAUCCAUAGCUGGUUUGAGGGGAUGAUCAGCCACACUGGGACUGAGACACGGCCCAGACUCCUACGGGAGGCAGCAGUGGGGAAUCUUAGACAAUGGGGGCAACCCUGAUCUAGCCAUGCCGCGUGAGUGAUGAAGGCCUUAGGGUUGUAAAGCUCUUUCAGCUGGGAAGAUAAUGACGGUACCAGCAGAAGAAGCCCCGGCUAACUCCGUG
RNAcentral lists this ribosomal RNA (431 nucleotides) under uncultured bacterium. RNAcentral's name for it is "partial 16S ribosomal RNA". It matches the Rfam family "Bacterial small subunit ribosomal RNA", at positions 29 to 507 of the family's 1533-position model. The record is from RNAcentral.